Paramuricea clavata is the source of this 243-nucleotide non-coding RNA. NCBI's taxonomy places the organism in Eukaryota, Metazoa, Cnidaria, Anthozoa, Malacalcyonacea, Plexauridae. The record is from the annotation of a GenBank genome assembly.
CCGGAUAAGUGGUAUAUUUCUCGCAGUUCUCUCCAACGUGUUGAAAAACUUUAAUACAUCUAAAGGGUUUUUGAAUGGUAUUUCUGUUGAACUAUCUCGAAAUCAUGCAUUUUUGUUGACGUAUCGACACAUAACAAGGAUUGUCACCUUCGCAAGGCGUGCCGCCUCACGCUCUGUUUCAGGUCGUGCCAACCCAAAAAUUCAGCAUGGCAACAAAACUUGAUGUACGCCAGUCAACAUACA